This 258-nucleotide long non-coding RNA is filed under the name Elaeis guineensis (African oil palm). RNAcentral describes it as "long non-coding RNA (EGUI_LNC031213)". Lineage: Eukaryota; Viridiplantae; Streptophyta; Magnoliopsida; Arecales; Arecaceae. The record is from RNAcentral.
GCCUUCGGAUGAAGUCGGAGGAUAAAGAAGGCUCGAAAAAGAGAAGGAUGGGGCAUGAUCGGCAACAUCCGAUAUAGCAAAGCAAAGCUAAUUAUCAGUCGGACCGAGUUCGGUGCCAGCUGAGCUGGGCAAAGUCUGUAAUAAUCUAAAAUAUUCUAGAUAAACAUUGAAAUCAAAAAUCAAAGACCCACCUGAAGAUCUUCGACAUAGAAGGCCACCUGGCAUGAAGGUGGGUUAUUCACCUGACCAUCGGCCCCA